CUCAAAUGUUUUGGCUGAAACGAUUAAAAACCUAUUAAAAAUUUGUGAGCGAAGAGAGGAGCAAUCAAGCUUAAUUUAACUUAAGUUUGACUGUUAGUUCUACUUUGACCACUGGUACCCCACAGAGUUCAACUGAAAGAGAUCAAAGUUCCCCAAAAAAUGAUGUGGAAGCCAACCAAGAGAGCAGUUUGGUGAUAUUAUGGCUUGCUGCAGUGGGUGUGGCUUCUGGAGUGGGUGUGUUCCUGGUGGGAUUGACAGUUGUUCGUCUCUGUAAGAAGACCAAAAGAAAGAAAUCUCAGAGACCUCCAGCCCAACAAGACAAUCAUGACCAACGUCCUGUUGGAGAGAAUGGAGAAUCAUCUGAAUAUGUCAAUUUUGAUACAUACCAGGAGUACUAUUCAAUCCAGCCUCAGCCCAAUGGCUUUCUGUAGAUAGUCUUCAAAGGUUUUAGUAUAGUUAAAUGUUCUAUUAUUAUUCUUUAUUCAAUCUCUUUGGAUUUGAAAUUGUCCACUUAUGUGCGAAAGUAUUAUCCAUAUUGGAUGAACAAUUUUAAAAUGACAAUGUUUUGUACAUAUUUCCUCCAUUAGGGUGCCAUAUGUAUUUCAACUGUUAUCUUCAAAACUGUUUCUUAUUAGAUUGUUUUUGAUUGCUUGUAUUAAAAGUGCAUAUCCAGCAG
Esox lucius (northern pike) is the source of this 676-nucleotide long non-coding RNA. Lineage: Eukaryota; Metazoa; Chordata; Actinopteri; Esociformes; Esocidae. The record is from Ensembl.